GACGAACGCUGGCGGCGCGCUUAACACAUGCAAGUCGAACGGAAAGGCCUGCUUUCCCUUGUGGUUUGCGGGUACUCGAGUGGCGAACGGGUGAGUAACACGUGAGUGAUCUGCCCCCAACUUGGGUAUAAGCCUGGGAAACUGGGUCUAAUUCCCGAUAGGACUGCAGGGUGGUGCCUGUGGUGGAAAACGAUUUUCUAGUGGUUGGGGAUGAGCUCGCGGCCUAUCAGCUUGUUGGUGGGGUAAUGGCCUACCAAGGCGGCGACGGGUAGCCGGCCUGAGAGGGUGGACGGCCACAUAGGGACUGAGAUACGGCCCAGACUCCUACGGGAGGCAGCAGUGGGGAAUAGUGCACAAUGGGCGGAAGCCUGAUGCAGCGACGCCGCGUGGGGGAUGACGGCCUUCGGGUUGUAACCUCCUUUCGACCGCGAGGAAGCCACCUGGUUGGAAGGGUGGUGACGGUAGUGGUAGAAGAAGCACCGGCUAACUACGUG
Molecule: ribosomal RNA, 494 nt
Filed under: uncultured bacterium
Lineage: Bacteria
Description: partial 16S ribosomal RNA
Rfam family: Bacterial small subunit ribosomal RNA
Source: RNAcentral